UUUGUUCAACGGCCGCGGUAUCCUAACCGUGCGAAGGUAGCGUAAUCACUUGUCUUUUAAAUGGGGACUUGUAUGAAUGGCAUCACGAGGGUUAUACUGUCUCCUUUUUCUAAUCAGUGAAACUAAUCUUCCCGUGAAGAAGCGGGAAUAAACAUAUAAGACGAGAAGACCCUAUGGAGCUUUAAACUUAAUAACAAAUACUAACCUUUCAUCAACCUUCAGAAUAUUAACCUUAAUUUUAGUAUUAUGAUUAUUAGUUUUAGGUUGGGGUGACCGCGGAGUAAAAAUUAACCUCCACAUUGAACGGGACCUGUCCCUGAGCCGAGAACUACAGCUCGAAGCACCAACAAAUUGACAUUAAUUGACCCAAUAUUUUGAUCAACGAACCAAGUUACCCUAGGGAUAACAGCGCAAUCCACUUCAAGAGCUCCUAUCGACAAGUGGGUUUACGACCUCGAUGUUGGAUCAGGGUAUCCCAGUGGUGCAGCCGCUACUAAAGGUUCGUUUGUUCAACGAUUAAAACCCU
This 526-nucleotide ribosomal RNA is filed under the name Osteocephalus taurinus (Manaus slender-legged treefrog). Its description in RNAcentral is "partial 16S ribosomal RNA". It matches the Rfam family "Bacterial large subunit ribosomal RNA", at positions 1919 to 2597 of the family's 2925-position model. Lineage: Eukaryota; Metazoa; Chordata; Amphibia; Anura; Hylidae. The record is from RNAcentral.